CAGUGAUAAACUGGAGGAAGGUGGGGAUGACGUCAAGUCAUCAUGGCCCUUACGACCAGGGCUACACACGUGCUACAAUGGCAUAUACAAAGAGAAGCGACCUCGCGAGAGCAAGCGGACCUCAUAAAGUAUGUCGUAGUCCGGAUUGGAGUCUGCAACUCGACUCCAUGAAGUCGGAAUCGCUAGUAAUCGUGGAUCAGAAUGCCACGGUGAAUACGUUCCCGGGCCUUGUACACACCGCCCGUCACACCAUGGGAGUGGGUUGCAAAAGAAGUAGGUAGCUUAACCUUCGGGAGGGCGCUUACCACUUUGUGAUUCAUGACUGGGGUGAAGUCGUAACAAGGUAACCGUAGGGGAACCUGCGGUUGGAUCACCUCCUUACCUU
Molecule: ribosomal RNA, 385 nt
Filed under: Citrobacter freundii
Lineage: Bacteria; Pseudomonadati; Pseudomonadota; Gammaproteobacteria; Enterobacterales; Enterobacteriaceae
Also listed under: 2 other names
Description: bacterial SSU rRNA
Rfam family: Bacterial small subunit ribosomal RNA
Source: RNAcentral